Malaclemys terrapin pileata is the source of this 1531-nucleotide long non-coding RNA. RefSeq lists it as uncharacterized. The transcript has 3 exons. The record is from RefSeq and is a predicted model, not a curated record. NCBI's taxonomy places the organism in Eukaryota, Metazoa, Chordata, Testudines, Emydidae.
GGCCGCUCUUUGUCCUGCUGCACAUGUGGGCUCUGCACUGGAGAGAGAAAGAGACAUCAGAAGGGAAUUUUACUAUCUUUUUAAGCAGGGGCCUCGCUGCGGAAAAUGUCACUUUAUACAGCAGUAGACCUUGAAAAUAAAAUCUGGAUCAUUCAAAGACUCCCAGUCAGGGGAAAAGUGCCUGCCAGGUCCUCUGCCGGACAAGGGCCUUGAAGUUUGGAGUGGGGGUAAAGCAAUUGAAAUCUGCCCCAUACCAUCCAGAGAUCAGCAGUUUUGUUGAGAGGUUCAUCAGGACUCUAAAAUCCAUGUUCAACAGGAACAGAUGCAAACAAGAGGGUGAGUGACUGGGAUGUAAUGUUCCCCUGUCUAUUUGCUUACCCUGGAGUGCCCUAUUUCAUUUCCUGGGUGGGAGAAAAGUCAGAGGGCCCCUGGAUCUCACUGGAGAGUCCCUGGAGGGUGGCUCUGAGGCAGAGGAGGAGUUUAUGACUGAACUUGUGCAAAAGUUUGGGGCAGGGCCGGCUUUAGGCCUAUUACCCCGAAUCAGGCCCCGUGCCCUAAAGUGUAGAUCAAUUUUUGAUAAUUUUUAUAUGACUUUACAUUGUGCCUUUUUAUAUAACCUUAUGGUGGGUCUACCCACGUGUGACCUUUGUUUUUAUGGAACUUUGUAUUAAAGCCUUAUUUAGAAACUUUGCAUUACCCUUGGUAUAACAUUAUAGCCCCUAAGGAUAAAAUAAGAUAGAAGAAAAUUUUUUUUUUGCUAGCAGUAGAACAAGAGCUCUCUCCCCCCCCACUCUUAAUCAAUUGCCCUGUUGAAUGAAUGAGGUGUGGAUGAGCAAGGCAUGGAAGGCAGCACCUCCAGACAGCCUCAACUGUUGGAGAGGGGCUGGGAGCCAGACCCAAGGACAAUAAAACGUGUCAAGUGGGCUCAUUAAAGACAAGCAGACAUACUGACGGCCUCGGGGGUUAGAAGCAAGCUCCUUCUUUUGGAAACACCCUCUUUGCAGCAUUGGGACAACACUCAAAAGAAAGCAGCACAAAGGACCAAUGGACACAGACACAGAGUUUGAAUCUGGUAUAGAUUUGCAUAAGAGGGAAGCUGCUAUAAAAGUGAGGUGUCUUGCAGAGGACCCCAGGUCUCGUCUUGUCAACAUGGGAGCAUCGAUCCGGAUCGGCAGAAGCCCGGCUCCACCCCCUCCCCCAUCUAACUCACCUGGCCAGUGAAGUUAAGGGGAGCAACUAAUUGGUAACAACAAGACAGAGUGUGUUUGUGUGUGUGUGUGAGUGUAAGUGUAAUAUAUUAUAUGCAUAUAAUACAGUGUUAAUAAAUACAUGUAUUACUAAUAAAUGUGGUGUUCUGCCUUAUUCCCCCUGAAAAGAUCCUGUGCAGUACUUUAAGUACAACAUUUUGGUGGAGAAUGCGAAAGGGGGAGCAAGCAUAGAACCCACAGUUAUUAUAAAACUGGUGUGCACACCGCCAGCUUUAGCAAGCCUGGCACUAUAGAAAAAAGAGCGUAAACUUUCAGUUAAUUAA